RNAcentral lists this long non-coding RNA (222 nucleotides) under Mytilus galloprovincialis (Mediterranean mussel). The record is from RNAcentral. Lineage: Eukaryota; Metazoa; Mollusca; Bivalvia; Mytilida; Mytilidae.
AUGAGAAUGUAAACAUGUUUACAAUCAACAUGCAACGCAUGUGAGAUGUGACAAUCUGUCAAUGGGAAAACCGAUUUAUAUUUGUGACAACAAAUACAUUGUAACUGUUACUGAUGACAUAUACCCUAAACGGAUGUAUCGAAGUUCAUAGGUAUAAAUACGCAGUAGAAUAGAUAAGUAAUAUCAGAGACAUAUAUAUGUCUCUGGUAAUAUAUAAGACAC